CGCUGAAACACCGGUUCCCGAACGAUCACCAAAGUUAAGCAACGUCGAGCAUGGUCAGUACUUGGAUGGGUGACCUCUUGGGAAUACAGAGUUCUG
Acanthosepion pharaonis is the source of this 96-nucleotide non-coding RNA. The record is from the annotation of a GenBank genome assembly. Lineage: Eukaryota; Metazoa; Mollusca; Cephalopoda; Sepiida; Sepiidae.